GAUGAACGCUAGCUACAGGCUUAACACAUGCAAGUCGUGGGGCAGCGGAUACUUAGCUUGCUCAGUAUGCCGGCGACCGGCGCACGGGUGAGUAACGCGUACCGAACCUGCCCAUCACACAUGGAUAGGCUUGCGAAAUCAAGAUUAAUAUCUGAUGGUCUCAAUUUUAUGCAUGUAUGAUUGAGUAAGGCCUUCGGGCGGUGAUGGAUGGCGGUGCGUCCCAUUAGGAAGUUGGCGGGGUAACGGCCCACCAAUCCUUCGAUGGGUAGGGGUUCUGAGAGGAAGGUCCCCCACAUUGGAACUGAGAUACGGUCCAAACUCAUACGGGAGGCAGCAGUGAGGAAUAUUGGUCAAUGGGCGAGAGACUGAACCAGCCAAGUAGAGUGCGGGAUGAAGGCCCUUGUGGUCGUAAACCGCUUUUAUCAGUGAAUAAAGUGCACCACGUGUGGUGUCAUUGCAGGUAGCUGAAGAAAAAGGACCGGCUAAUUCCGUG
RNAcentral lists this ribosomal RNA (493 nucleotides) under uncultured bacterium. Its description in RNAcentral is "partial 16S ribosomal RNA". It matches the Rfam family "Bacterial small subunit ribosomal RNA", at positions 28 to 507 of the family's 1533-position model. The record is from RNAcentral.